This 25290-nucleotide long non-coding RNA is filed under the name Vitis vinifera (wine grape). Its description in RNAcentral is "long non-coding RNA (VVIN_LNC006109)". The record is from RNAcentral. Lineage: Eukaryota; Viridiplantae; Streptophyta; Magnoliopsida; Vitales; Vitaceae.
AUCUGUCUCCUGAACCAUCUUCUUCUUCCUCUUUUUGAGGAAGCAACAGAGAGCAACUGAGAGGAAUGCAAGGAAGAAUAGACCACCCAAUGAGACGAACACAAUGAUUAUGACUGUGGGAUGGCUGUCUGGUGAUGGUGAAGGUGGUGGUGGAAGUACAUGAGGUGGAGGUGGUGGGCGUGUAUGAGGUGGUGGUGGUGGGCGUGUAUGAGGAGGCGGUGGUGGAUUUAUAUGAGGAGGUGGAGGUGGUGGACGUCUAUGAGGUGGUGGUGGUGGGCGUGUAUGAGGAGGCGGUGGUGGAUUUAUAUGAGGAGGUGGAGGUGGUGGGCGUGUAUGAGGUGGUGGUGGUGGGCGUGUAUGAGGAGGCGGUGGUGGAUUUAUAUGAGGAGGUGGAGGUGGUGGACGUCUAUGAGGAGGUGGUGGAGGAGGAGAAAAAGGUGGGAAGUUGUAGUAAUUGAUCUGGGAAGAAGUCAUUGAGGUGAUAUGGAUAGUGGAAACUUUGAAGAAGAUGGUUAGAAUGGUUAUGGUUGUGGUUGUGGAGAAGAUGGGAGCAUUGGAAGCCUAUUUGUAGUGAGGUUUUGGUUUAUUUUGUGAAGUAGAAUUGUUUUGAAGUUACAGUGACUUGACUCUCAUGUUAAGAUUCGGAAUAGGUUGUCAUAGUUUGCAUUGGAAAACACUACUAAAAAAUCUUGCUUGUUUCCCUUCAGAGUCUUGUGUUCCAUUCACAAGAUACAGGAUUUUGGGGGGACGUUAAAGAGAACUCUAUAAAUACUGUAUCUGCAACUCAGGCUUGGUAAGAAUGUCAAAACAAUGGAAGAAGUAUCUGUUUUGGGUAUCAACUAUUCUUUUUCCUUUCAUUUUGGACAUAAAUAAAAAAAUAAAAAAAAUAAAAAUAGAAGCAAGACCAAUUGUUUGCAUUGGAAAACACCCUAAGUGUGUAGAAGGCCUGCUAUUUUUUUGGAUCUAUUUUCAUCUUCCAAAGAUUCAUAGCCCAAUCCUCACGUCUUUCCUCAAGGCAUCUUUGUUCGCUAGAAAAUUCGCCAGAAAAUACAAUAAAAGAAAAUAGUGAAGAAAAAUAGAAAAAAAAACUCGUAAAAAAAUGUAAUAUAUAAAUUUAAAAAUUAACAAAUUAUUUUUAUAUGUUACUUCAAAUUCAUUUAACUUAUUUUAAUUUAUAUCAAUAUCAAAAUUAAAUAUUUUUAAAAUAUAAAUUUUUUAAUUUAUUUUAAUUAUAUUUGAUUUUCUCAUAUUUUUCAUGGAACAAUUAAAUAUAAAAAAUUAUUUCCAAAAUUUUUUUCUUCGGUACUUUCUAACAACUAAAUAUAACCUAAGUUUAUUAAGAAUAAUAAGUUUAUAUUGUUCCUUACAAGUUAAAUUAACCCGUAACUAAUAUCAAAUUGUUCAAAUUUGUCACUAAGAGAUGCCUUUUAAAUGGCUCUAAUUUAAAAGUGAACCAAAUGCGUUAGGUCUAUAAUAAAAUAAAAUAAAUAAAAUAAAAAAAUUCUUAAAAGGGGCAGUUCUAAAAGCAUUGAACGUCCAUUCUACACUGAUCUAGUCAUGUUGAAAGUUGUCUUCCACAAUUUCCAUUAUACAUUGAAAUAAAAAUAAAAAAAUUAAAUUUAUAAGAAGUGUUUUUUUCUCUCUAUAAAUAACACUUUUAUGAGAAUAUGAAAAAGUAAUUUUAAUAGUGUUUUUUAAAAUGUCUCUGUGGACCCUGCAUUUCGGCUCAAUGCGUUUCCCACUCGAAUGGCGAGCUCGAUUUUUAUUUUGAACAAUGAAUUAAUUGGUUAAAAAAAAAUGACUUGGAGUCGCCAGUUAUUUUUGUUUUAUUUUUUAAGGGUAAACAAAAUAAGAAAGAAAAACCCUAAGUCUGACUCUUUAUUUGGAAAAGGUAAUCUGCGAAAAAUCGGAUCGGGUUCAGGGGUCAGGUUACUUAUCGGGAAGGUACGGUAAAGACCGUAGCAUCCCUCUAAGUCUCUAAAACGGGUCUCUACUAAUAAAAUGAAGCUGACAUGACAAUUGAUGAGGGAAUCAAUGAAUACUUAGGAUGAUCAUGCACAUGUGAGAACCUAAACAUGCAUACAAAAAAUGACCCGAGCGGAUGUAGAUGCGUACCUGGGCAGCGAUCCAAUAAAACGCUAUCAAGAAGUGAGGUUAGUGCAUAGUUAAGGAAUAAUCGCAUGUAUGUUAGAGAGCAGGAUAAAUCAAUUAUACAUGGCAAUUAAGUCAAUCAGUCGAUCAAUCAAUCGAUCAGUCACAUAUGUGGGGCCCCCACCAAAGCUCGUUUUAUCUUGCCUGGAUCAAUUCUGAUAACUCCAUUGUUCGGAAUUACGAAAUUCGACCCCUUGCUUAUUUCAAAACAUUUUAAAAACAGAGGAAGUAUGAAAAUUGCUUGCCAGAAAUAAAAGCGGCAACAAAGCUUUAUUAAAAAUGUGAUUUUGGAACCUAAAGAAAAUGCUCUAAGGAUGAAGAAAAAGGUGGAACGUCGGCUGGAUAGAAUUCCGGAUGUGACACAUCCAAAGAAGGUGGAAUGUCGGAGAAGAAUUCCGGGAGUGAGACACCCGGAUGGAAUGGCGGCGGGGAGGAAUUCCGGGAGCGAGACACCCGGAUGGAAUGGCGGCAGGGAGGAAUUCCGAGAGUGAGACACCGGGAUGGAAAGGCGACGGAGAGGAAUUCUGGGAGUGAGACACCCGGAUGGAAUGGCGGCGGGGAGGAAUUCCGGGAGUGAGACACCUUGAUGGAAUGGAGGCGGGGAGGAAUUCCGGGUGAGACACCCAGGGGAAUGGCGGCGGGGAAGGAAUUCCGAGUGUGAGACAUCCGGAUGGAAAGGCGGCGGAGAGGAAUUCCGGGUGUGAGACAUCCGGAUGAGGUAGAACGUUGUCAUGAGUAGCACGAAGGAUAGGUAUGGGUUGUAUAGAUAUGGAGGCUUGGGUGAGUGGUUUUAAUGGGUAUGCGAAAGAGUGAAGGAUAGCAUGCACCCGGGAGACUCCAUGUAAGUGAGGGAGUGGGAUGGGGAAUGAAUGAGAGGAAGAUGGGUGUGGUGGAGGAUGCUUGAUUCCUACAAGCUUGGGUGAGGAAAUGGGUAUGACGACCUAGAGAGAGAGGUAGAUAGAUGAACAAUGAGGACGUAGGCAUAUUGGAUAAAACGAUGAAUAAUAAACGAAAAUGGGCAUGGGGAUGCUGAUGAGGUGAGCUUUGCCACCAUGACAACUACUCCAGAUUUUCUAGGAUCUCUUUCGAGUAGGGAUGAGAAAAUGGAUGCAUACCAUGGACGGAUAUAAAAAAACAAGGGAAGUAGAGAAACAGAGCGUGAAAGAAGAUGAAUAAAUAAAGGAAAAUCUCAUAAAAUCCACUUCAUGAAUCAUCCAUGAAUCUUCUGAGCAGGUGGGUAAAACCGUAUCAAAUGCAACCACCCUCAUGAUUCUCAAGUAUUUCAUAACCACAACAGGAGCAUAUCAAAUUAAAAAAUGGACAAAUCUACACAAAUGCAGGCGUACAUAUCAACAAACAGACCAGUGGCCUUCAACAUCCACCCAAAACAGCAUUAUGUUAUGGAAAAUCAAUGAAUAAUGAGAGAUGAGGAGAAAACUGCGUACAUACCUGGUUCCUCAAGCAAAAAGAAAUCAAGUCUCAGCUCUCUCAAUGAGUUUCUCCCUCCAAAGACUCCUCAGGUAAAGCAGCUCACCUCAAAUGUCUCUCUCUACCGUCAAGAACUCACUAUCCCUCCUCCGUAGCUUACUCUCUCAGCUAAGAAAAGCCUCCCCCUCUCCUUCGCUCACUCUUGGCAAUGGAAAAACCUCUCAGAGAAAGUCUCCUCUAACGACCAUGGAAAAAAAAACCUCUCACUCUCUCUACAACUUCUCCAAUAUCUCUCCUCUAACGACCAUGGAAAAAAAAACCUCUCACUCUCUCUACAGCUUCUCUAAUAUCUCCCCUCGUUCCCCUCUUUUUUUUUUUUGUUUUUUUGUAUCCCCCUUUUGCAAGCCACUCUUCUCCUUUUUUUUUCUUUCACCUUCCUCAGCAAGUCACCCCUGCCUCCUACAACCACCUUUUUUCUCGGAUUUGCCUUCCUAACAAUCUCUGUUGCAGCCACCUUUCCUGCACCACUCCUUCUGCAGCCACCUUUUUUUCUCCAAUCUAUCCCCUCUUGACGGCCUGUGGGACCCCCUUCCAGGAAGUUCCUCCACAUGUCAAAGUCCUACUGCAACUUCAAAAAGCGAGGUUGAUUCCUUAUAGCCACUAAGGAUGUGACAUGUGGCCCGCUGGGAUAGUGACACCUGGUUAAAAAUGUGAUCUGCAAAAACAAAUAGAGAAAAAGCGACUCAUGCCUAAAUAGGGGUCUAUAGUCUCAUAAGUACAAAAAUAUUUUUAGUAUUAAUAAGUUUCUAAAAAGGACCUUCAUUACAAAAAAAAAAUUAUAAUAAAUAAAAAACUUUUAUUGCAAAAAAAUAUGUAAAUAUUUAUAUUGUUAAAAAAAACUCAAAAAAUUAUUUUUAUGAUUAUGAAAAUAGAAAUAAUGUAGAGUACAUAAAAAAUUAGAAAUUGAUGUCAUUGAACUCACUGCAUGAUAAACUUGUAAUAAUUUCCAACAUGAUUGUAUAAAAUCUUAAAAUUAUUUUCUAAAUAUUAGUUCUCCUGUUGUUGGUGAGGAAUUUUCAUAAAAAAUUUGAAGAGAGUAAAAUGAAAAAAAAAAUUAAUAAGAAACACUUUGACUAUUUUAGGAAUAUUUGAAAUUUUUUAAAGUAUUUUUUUUAUAAAAAAAAACACCUUCCAAUUGCUUCCCUAGAAAACACUUUAAUCAUUUUUUAAAAUUUUUAAAAGUGUAUUUCAAAAUAUUAUCAAACACUUAUUUUUCACCUUAAAAACACUUUUCAUAUGAAAUGUAAAUAAUUUUCAUAAAAAUACAAUUACAUUUAAUGUUAAAAGUUAUGACAUUUUUCAUAUAGCUUUUCACGAGAAAGUUCUCUCUUUAAAAGAUAAUUUCAAUAUAAACCAUUUUUUUCUAUACAAAUCCUUUUAUGAAAAUUGUUAUUUCAAAAAGCAAUUUUGUAAUGACUGGGUAUUUUAUGCCACGUUAGCAUUUUUAGUUUGAAAAGUCUUAUUUGUGUGAUGGUUGAAAAGUCAAAAAGAAAAGUGUUUGGAGAACACGUGUCAAUUUCGGAUUGGUGAAUUUCGUUUUAUUGUGUCAGUCAAUUAAACGAGUUGAAAUUUUAUACCAUGUCAGCCUUAGGGUAGAAAAUUUCUUAGGAUUUUAGAAAUUGAAAUUUUUAGGAAACGAAAAAAAAAAUAAUUAAAAAAAUUAAUUAGAAUUAAUUAAGAAAAAUUAAAUUAAACUGAUGAAUAAUAAAAUUGAGAAAAAUUAGUUUUAGAUUGGUGUUAGUAAAUAAAUGGUGUUAAAAAAAUGAUGAAAAACAAAUGAAUUAAAAAUCAAAUAAAACAAUUAGAAUAAACAAAAGAAAAUAAAAUAAAAGAAAUAAAAUAAAAAUAUUCAUUGGGCUUUGAAUAUUGGUUUUUUAAGGUAAUGGAUUGUUAAAAAGAAAGGAAUUGAGUUGGGCUUGGAUAUGGGCUUAAGUGGCUGGUGGCUUUUAAAAGCCAUGUGAAAAAAAAAAAAAAGGAGAAUGAGGAGAAUUGGAAAAAAAAAAACUGGCAGUGGGGAGAGAGAGAGAGGCUACUGUGCAUAAAUUAGGGCAUUGGCCAGAUCUUUGACCGGCCGUUAGGAUGACCAAACGAUCUCUGUUUUGGCCCAAAUUCGGAGGAAGUGCUCUAUUCGACUAGAGGAACAAGUCUAUGGUGGCUGAUUCAUUUUUAACGGCCAAAUUUUCAUAUAUGAGGUAGGGGAAAACUAACCCUAAAACUCAAAUUUAAUGUAUUUUUCAUUGGAAAAAAAUUAUAAAUCUGAUAAUUAUGAGUUAAUUAGGUAAUUUUGAUGUUGUGUGAAUUUUCUGGAAUGAUUUGGGAUUUUUUCUGGAUUUUUUUUGUAAUUUUCAGAAUUCUUUGUAAUUAAUAAAUAAUUAUUUUAGGUUGUUAAAAAUUGCUAGAAAUGUAGGAAAAUUCCGGAAUUAGGGUAAGAUUUCAAAUCUAGUGACUUAUGAAUUUUUGAAAAUUGAUUGGAAUAUUUGCGGUAAUUUUAUUGUGAAAAAUUAGUUAUUUUCAAAUAUUAGGAAUUAUUAGAAUUAUUGAAAAAUUCUAAAAUUGUGACAUAAAUUCAAGUAUAUUGAUGUGUGAAUUUCCAAAAAUUCGUUGGUAUAUUUUCAGGAAUUUUAAUGUGAAAAUUUUAUUUUAUUGUGUUAUUGAAAAUGUUGGAAUUGUUGAAAUUAUUGAGGAAUUUUGGAGUUUGUAGCAUUCAUUUACAUCAUGGUUGUAUGAAGAAAAAAAAAUUUGUGAAAAGUGUAUGAAAUGGAAAAAAAAAAAUAGUGAUGAAAAGUGAAAGCCCGUGUGAGGCGAACUAAGAAGGAAAAGAGAUCCCUAGGGUGAAAGACCCAAAAGUUUACCCCAGGAAGACUCCGAAUAGGGAGUAUAUUUGGGUGCGGAUGCGUAUCCUUCGGUGAAAGCCCGAGAAUGAUAGUGCAUUGUAUGAUUGUGUGUCAUACGUUUAUGUGCAUUCAUUUAAUGAUUGGAUGCUGUGGAAUUGAGUUUAAUGUUAUAUGUUAAAUUGUGUGACUUGAUUUAUAUUGGUGAACUGUUGCGUUUGGGUUCCCAAAAUAUAGUAAUCCCUCAUUAACCCUGUGGGUGUUAGGCACCCUACUGAGCAAUGUGGAAAUGCUCACUCCUUCAUUUUUAUAUCUUUUUAGAUGCAGAUAUCACUCCUGAGGAUCCACAGAUGGGACAGAGAGGACUUUAGGAUGCCCCUAGAGCGGUUUAAUGGAAAGGUUUUAUUUUUUUAUUGUGUUUGUGGCAUUGAGACCUUGUAAUAAGUGAAUUAUGGAUAAUGUAAUAAGACCUUAGUUUGAUUAAGGGGAUUUUUAUGAAACUUUAUUUUGGGAUGCAAUGAUGUUUAUUAAAUCUUGAUGUGUUUGAGUAAGGUUUUAAAAUAUUGUUAGUUGGUGAGAACUCUAGUGGGACUUAUAUGUGAAAAAAAAAAAAUUCAGAGUGUUUUAGUUGACUGCCAACGUGGAAUAGGAGAAACCCUUAGGGUCAAACCUUUGACCUGGGAUCACGGGCCAAAUUUUGGGUCGCCCGGAAUUUGGGUCGUGACAGCGUGGUAUCAGAGCCAAGGUUGCGAUAAUACAUUGGGGUCAAUGUUGUGAGUGUUUGUGUGUAUUGUAAUGUUAUGAUUUUUGUAUGUGUUAAUUGGCAAGUUGAUGAUUAAUUAAAUUAUGUAUUGUGAUUGUAUGAAAGUGAAAGUUUUGAUAAUUGCUGAAGUUGCUAAGUGUGUACAUGUGAAAUUUGUUUUUGCUCACCUUGGUAAUGUGGUUGAGUAAGGGUUUUAUUCAUCCAAGUACAUCGCCAUAGGGAGCCCCAGUGUUGUUUGUGAAGAAGAAGGAUGACACAGUAAGGUUAUGUAUUGACUAUAGGAAGUUGAAUAGAGUUACUGUGAAGAACAAGUAUCCUCUUCCAAGGAUAGAUGACUUGUUUGAUCAGUUGAAGGGUGCAAAGUAUUUUAGUAAGAUUGACUUGAGAAUUGGGUAUCAUCAACUGAGGGUUAGGGAAGAAGAUGUUUCUAAAACAGCUUUUAGAACGAGAUAUGGGCAUUAUGAAUUCUUAGUCAUGCCUUUUGGGUUAACUAAUUCCCCCGCUGCUUUCAUGGAUUUAAUGAACAGGGUAUUUCGUGCUUACUUGGAUCAGUUUGUGAUUGUCUUUGUGGAUGACAUCUUGAUCUACUCCAGGAGUUUGGAGGAGCAUAAGCAGCAUUUGGUGACCACCCUUAAAACUUUGAGAAGGCAUCAGUUGUAUGGGAAGUUGGACAAAAGUGAGUUUUGGCUUACUGAAGUGAACUUCUUAGGCCAUGUGGUUUCUGAGGCAGGAAUAGCAGUAGACCAUUCAAAGGUGGAAGCUGUACAGGAGUGGCAAAGGCCUACCAAUGUAUUUGAGGUUAGAAGUUUCUUGGGGUUGGUUGGAUAUUAUAGGAGGUUUGUAGAAGAUUUCUUUAGAAUUGCAGCACCAAUGACUCAGUUGACUAGAAAAGGGGUAAAGUUUGAUUGGAAUGAGGAGUGUGAGAAUGCUUUCCAGGAGUUGAAGCGGAAAUUGACCACUGCUCCAGUGUUAACUGCUCCUAUUAGUGGAGAGUUGUUUACAAUUUAUUGUGAUGCUUCCACAGUGGGGCUAGGGUGUGUGCUAAUGCAGCAAGGCAAGGUGGUAGCUUAUGCCUCAAGACAGUUAAAGCAGCAUGAGCGGAAUUAUCCAACACAUGAUUUGGAGCUUGCGGUAGUGGUGUUUGCCCUUAAGACUUGGAGACACUAUUUGUAUGGAGAGAAGUUUGAGGUGUACUCUGAUCACAAGAGUUUGAAAUAUAUUUUCACUCAAAAGGAUCUGAACUCUAGGCAAAGGAGAUGGAUGGAGACAUUAGAAGAUUAUGAUUUUGCUCUUCAUUAUCAUCCAGGAAAGGCAAAUGUUGUAGCAGAUGCCUUGAGUAGGAAGAGUAUUGGCCAGUUGUCUAGCUUGGAGUUGAGAGAGUUUGAGAUGCAUGCACUUAUUGAGGAUUUUGAAUUAUGUCUUGGUUUGGAAGGGCAUGGUCCAUGCUUGUACAGUAUAUCAGCUAGACCAAUGGUUAUCCAAAGAAUAGUGGAGGCCCAAGUUCAUGAUGAGUUUUUAGAAAAGUUUAAAGCCUAGUUGGUAGCAGGUGAAAUAGAUGAAAAUUGGUCUAUGUAUGAAGAUGGGAGUGUGAGGUUCAAAGAGAGAUUGUGUGUGCCAAAAGAUGUGGAGUUGAGAAAUGAACUUCUAGCAGAUGCUCAUAGGGCGAAGUAUACCAUCCACCCUGGGAAUACCAAGAUGUAUCAAGACUUAAAGAGACAGUUUUGGUGGAGUGGGAUAAAGAGAGAUAUUGCUCAGUUUGUAGCUAAUUGUCAGAUUUGUCAACAAGUGAAGGCUGAACACCAGAGGCCUACAGGGUUGUUGCAACCUUUACUUAUACUUGAGUGGAAGUGGGAUAAUAUCACUAUGGACUUUGUGAUAGGGUUGCCAAGAACUAAAAGCAAGAAAAAUGGAGUUUGGGUGAUUGUGGACCGUCUUACUAAGUCAGCUCAUUUUCUAGCCAUGAAAACUACUGAUUCCAUGAACUCUUUGGCUAAGUUGUAUAUACAAGAGAUUGUGAGAUUGCAUGGGAUAGCUAUAUCUAUAGUGUCUGACAGGGACCCUAAGUUUACUUCUCAGUUUUGGUAGAGUUUACAAAGGGCUUUGGGCACCCAACUGAAUUUUAGCACCGUUUUUUCACCCUCAGACAGAUGGUCAAUCAGAGAGAGUGAUUCAGAUCUUAGAAGACAUGUUAAGGGCUUGUGUUUUGGAUUUUGGAGGAAAUUGGGCAGAUUACUUACCUUUGGCAGAGUUUGCUUAUAACAACAGUUACCAAUCUAGUAUUGUCAUGGCACCUUAUGAAGCACUCUAUGGGAGACCUUGUAGAUCGCCCUUGUGUUGGAUAGAGAUGGGUGAGAGUCGUUUGUUGGGACCUGAGAUUGUCCAAGAGACUACAGAGAAGAUACAACUCAUCAAGGAAAAACUUAAGACUACCCAAGAUAGACAGAAAAGUUAUGCAGACAAAAGGAGAAGACCCUUGGAGUUUGAGGAAGGGGAUUGGGUGUUUGUAAAAAUGUCCCCUCGAAGAGGCAUAUUUCGAUUUGGGAAGAAGGGGAAGUUAGCCCCUAGGUUUGUGGGACCAUUUCAGAUUGAUAAGAGAGUUGGCCCAGUGGCAUACAAGUUAAUUUUGCCUCAACAGUUGUCCCUUGUGCAUGAUGUUUUCCAUGUGUCAAUGCUAAGAAAGUGUACCCCAGAUCCAACUUGAUAGUGGACUUGCAAGAUGUUCGGAUUAGUGAAGAUACUUCUUAUGUGGAGGAACCUUUACGAAUUCUGGAAGUUGGAGAGCAUAGGUUCAGGAACAAGGUGAUUCUUACAGUCAAAGUGUGGUGGCAACACCAUGGGAUAGAAGAAGCCACUUGGGAACCUGAGGAAGAAAUGAGACGACACUAUCCUCAACUCUUCUAUGAAUUUUAAGGUAAGCUAGCUUAAAUCUCGGGACGAAAUUUCUUUUAGGAGGAUAGGAUGUAAUGACCGGGUAUUUUAUGCCACGUUAGCAUUUUUAGUUUGAAAAGUCUUAUUUUGUGUGAUGGUUGAAAAGUAAAAAAGAAAACUGUUUGGAGAACACGUGUCAAUUUCGGAUUGGUGAAUUUCGUUUUAUUGUGUCGGUCAAUUAAACGAGUUGAAAUUUUAUACCAUGUCAACCUUAGGGUAGAAAAUUUCUUAGGAUUUUAGAAAUUGAAAUUUUCCGGAAACGAAAAAAAAAAAAGAAUUAAUUAAAAAAAUUAAUUAGAAUUAAUUAAGAAAAAUUAAAUUAAAUUGAUGAAUAAUAAAAUUGAGAAAAAUUAGUUUUAGAUUGGUGUUAAUAAAUAAAUUGUGUGUUAAAAAAAUGAUGAAAAAAAAUGAAUUGGAAAUCAAAUAAAACAAUUAGAAUAAACAAAAGAAAAGAAAAUAAAAUAAAUAAAAUAAAAAUAUUCAUUGGGCUUUGAACAUUGGCCGUUUAAGGUAAUGGAUUGUUAAAAAGAAAGGAAUUGAGUUGGGCUUGGAUAUGGGCUUAAGUGGCUGGUGGCUUUUAAAAGCCAUGUGAAGUGGGCUGUUAAAAAAAAAAAAAGGAGAAUGAGGAGAAUUGGAAAAAAAACUGGCAGCGGGGAGAGAGAGAGAGAGAAAGGCUACUGUGCAUAAAUUAGGGCACUGGUCGGAUCUUUGACCGGCCGUUUGGACGACCAAACGAUCUCCGUUUUGGCCCAAAUUUGGAGGAAGUGCUCUAUUCGACUAGAGGAACAAGUCUGCGGUGGCUGAUUUCGUUUUUAACUGCCAAAUUUUCAUAUAUGAGGUAGGGGAAAACUAACCCUAAAACUCAAAUUUAAUGUAUUUUUCAUUGGAAAAAAAUUAUAAAUCUGAUAAUUAUGAGUUAAUUAGGUAAUUUUGAUGUUGUGUGAAUUUUCUAGAAUGAUUUGGGAUUUUUUCUGGAUUUUUUUGUAAUUUUCAGAAUUCUUUGUAAUUAAUAAAUAAUUAUUUUAGGUUGUUAAAAAUUGCUAGAAAUGUAGGAAAAUUCUGGAAUUAGGGUAAGAUUUCAAAUCUAAUGACUUAUGAAUUUUUGAAAAUUGAUUGGAAUAUUUGCGGUAAUUUUAUUGUGAAAAAUUAGUUAUUUUCAAAUAUUAGGAAUUAUUAGAAUUAUUGAAAAAUUCUAAAAUUGUGACAUAAAUUCAAGUAUAUUGAUGUGUGAAUUUCCGAAAAUUCGUUGGUAUAUUUUCGGGAAUUUUAAUGUGAAAAUUUUAUUUUAUUGGGUUAUUGAAAAUGUUGGAAUUGUUGAAAUUAUUGAGGAAUUUUGGAGUUUGUAGCAUUCAUUUGCAUCAUGGUUGUAUGAAGAGAAAAAAAAUUUGUGAAAAGUGUAUGAAAUGGAAAAAAAAAAAAAAAAAAUAGUGAUGAAAAGUGAAAGCCCGUGUGAGGCGAACUAAGAAGGGAGAGAGAUCCCUGGGGUGAAAGACCCAAAAGUUUACCCCGAGAAGACUCCGAAUAGGGAGUAUAUUUGGGUGCGGACGCGUAUCCUUCGGUGAAAGCCCGAGAAUGAUAGUGCAUUGUAUUAUUGUGUGUCAUACGUUUAUAUGCAUUCAUUUAAUGAUUGGAUGUUGUGGAAUUGAGUUUAAUGUUAUAUGUUAAAUUGUGUGACUUGAUUUAUAUUGGUGAACUGUUGCGUUUGGGUUCUCAAAAUAUAGUAAUGCCCCAUUAACCCUGUGGGUGUUAGGCACCCUACUGAGCAAUGUGGAAAUGCUCACCCCUUCAUUUUUAUAUCUUUUUAGAUGCAGAUAUCACUCCUGAGGAUCCACAGAUGGAACAGGGAGGACUUCAAGAUGCCCCUAGAGCGGUUUAGUGGAAAUGUUUUAUUUUUUUAUUGUGUUUGUGACAUUGAGACCUUGUAAUAAGUGAAUUAUGGAUAAUGUAAUAAGACCUUAGUUUGAUUAAGGGGAUUUUUAUGAAACUUUAUUUUGGGAUGCAAUGAUGUUUAUUAAAUCUUGAUGUGUUUGAGUAAGUGUGGACCCCGCAUUUCGGCUCAAUGCGUUUCCCACUCGAAUGGCGAGCUCGAUUUUGACUUUGAAAAAUGAUUUUAUUGAUUAAGAAAAAUUGACUUGGAGUCGCCACUUAUUUUUGUUUUAUUUUUAAAGGGUAAACAAAAUAAGAAAGAAAAACCCUAAGUGUGACUCCUGGUUUUGGAAAAGGCGGCCUGUGAAAAAUCGGAUCGGGUUCGGGGGUCAGGUUACUUAUCGGGAAGGUACGGUAAAGACCGUAGCACCCCUCUAAGUCCCUAAAGUCGGGUCUCUACUAAUAGAAUGAAGCUGACAUGGAAAUCAACGAGAAAGUCAAUGGAUAUUCACCUAAAUCAUGCACAAUAUGAGAAUCAAAACACACAAUAGAGAUUGACUAGAAAGGAAGUGGAUGCGUACCUCGGCCACGAGCCACAAUGCGCUAUCAAGAAACGGGAUUAGCGCACAAUUAAUGAAUACAAAACAUAGCUCAUACAUAUCGGAGUGCAAAACGAAGCUCAAGCGAAAUACAGUAAGCACGAUAAUUGACAGUCGAAAUGGAUCAAACAUCGGGCCCCCACCAAAGCCCAAUUUAUGGUUCAUGAAUUAGUGUUACAAAUUUCGUGUCCUAGAAUUAUGAAGAAUUUAUUUUUGUUUAUGUAGAAUCAAGAAGAUCAGAAGACUAUUUCAAGAAUUUUUAGGAGAUCAAUUGAGAAAUUUAAAGGAUCAAUACAAUCAGCAUGAGGAAAUCAGCAGUUGCGUUUGAGUGUUAUUCCGUGAAAUAACUCGAAUUUCAAAUCAUUCACUUGCUUUAACUACUCAUGCUAUGGAUGUGGGAGCAUCAACUCCGUCCCUGUGGGCUUGUCUUGGGAAUUAAAUUUAAAAGAUUAGAGCUUCGGUAAUUAAAAUGAAAUUUGCCAAAGAAAAUGAGAAAUGAACUUUAGGGAAUUAAACUGCAAAGAUAUAGAUUUUGAAAGUUGAAUUUGUAAUAAUAAUAAUAAUAAGGGAUGAACUUUAGGAAAUUAAGCUACGAGAAUAUAGAUUUUUAAUAAUAAUAAUAAUAAUAAUAAUAAUAAUAGUAAUAAUAAUAAUAAUAAUAAUAAUAAGAAAUGAACUUUAAGAAAAUUGAACUGCCAGAAUAUAGAUUUUUUAAUAAUAAUAAUAAUAAGAAAUGAAAUUUAGGAAAUUAAAUUGCAAGGAUAUAGAUUUUUGAUAAUAAUAAUAAUAAUAACAAUAAUAAGAAAUGAACUUCAAGAAAUUGAACUGCCAGAAUAUAGAUUUUUUAAUAAUAAUAAUAAUAAUAAUAAUAAGAAAUGAAAUUUAGGAAAUUAAAUUAUGAUGAUAUAGAUUUUUAAUGAUAAUAAUAAUAAUAAUAAUAAUAAUAAUAAUAAUAAUAAAUGAACUUCAGGAAAUUGAACGGCUAAAGUAUAGAUUUUUUAAUAAUAAUAAUAAUAAUAACAAUAAUAAUAUAAUGAACUUUAGGAAAUUAAAUUACGAGGACAUAGAUUUUUAAUAAUAAUAAUAAUAAGAAAUGAACUUUACGAAAUUAAAUUGCAAGGAUACAAAUUUUUAAUAAUAACAAUAAUAAUAAUGAUAAUAAUAAUAUUAGGAAAUUGAACUGAGAGAGAGUAUAUAUUUUUAAUAAUAAUAAUAAUAAUAAUAAUGAUAAUAAUAAUAACAAUAAUAAUAAUAAAAAUAAUAAUAACAAUAAUAAUAACAAUAAUAAUAAUAACAAUAAUAAUAAUAAUAAUAAUAAUAAUCCCUAGCAACCCUAGUCAUAAUAAAACCCUAGUCCGGUCCAAGUCCAUCAGCAAACCUCAAGCCCAUAAUAAUAAUAAAAUCACCCUAGCAACCUUGGUCCAGCCCAAGUCCAUCAGCAAACCUCAAGCCUCCAAGUCCAUCAGCAAACCUCAAGCCCAAAUCCAAGCCCAUCAUCAAAAGGGCUUUGGAAGUGGACCAAUGAUGGUGGCCCUGCAUCUUAUCUACAACUUGGACUCCCAAGUCUCUAGCUAGCACCACGAGACAUUGCCCCACCUGCUGAAAUUCCCCUGAUCUUCACUAUCCACAACGGAACCCUCCAAUGUCGCGAGAUGCAUGCGCGUGUCAGAGGAAAACUCAAACUUAGGGCAAUGGAGCCACCAAGUCGGGCGUGUGUUCUAGUCUCAUGCUCGGGCCUAUCAGGGAGCACGACAAUGGCAUCCCUACACCUUGCAACCGUGACAAUGAAGCCUUGAUUUUUAGAGUGAAAACGGACAGCACUCAUCAUUGCCAUUCUCCAACUGAUUUAAGCGCUUAGUCCAUCUCUUCUUGAUGAGACAACUUGUAAUCCAGCACACGGAAAAAGUCUAAGUCUGGGGAGAAAAAAAAAGGUUGGCGAGCAUGGAGUGUAAGGAAAUGGUGUACACGAGAAGAAUAGUUUUGGUGGAUAUAGGAGGCAUGGGAUAGGUUAAUGAAAACGGGCAAUAGCAUGGGUAUAGAGACAUGAAACGGAUGAGUUAGUGUACACGGGUAUGGAAUGAAGAGGUGAGUUGGGUAGUGGGCAUGUGAAAUGAAGGUGGAUGGUGGGUUUCAUGGGAUCGAUGAUGCAUGGCAGGACAGGUAAGGGGGUGUCUUGAAGGGUACGUACAUGCAUGGAUGGCAUAGAGUGGUGUAAAUUAAUGAGAAAACCAUGAGUGUGAAGGGUUGUGGUGUAGAGAGAGAAAAGGUGGCGAAAUGUUUAUGGGUAUUGUGAAGGUUUAGGUGACAUGUAUGAGGGGUAUAGAAUGAGAAUGGUGGUGAGAAGAAUGGGUAAGCGGGUUUGGGAUGGUGAAAACGGUGAUGAGAGAGGUGUAUAGUGAGAGGUAUUGGGGAAGUGGAUUUGAUGGGUAAGGGUACAGAAGUAAAGAGUGAGAAUAGUGGUGAUGAGCACGGUGGAUAUUGGAAAAACUGAUGGUGCAUAGCUAUAUGGUAAUGGGUGUGCGGGUAGUGAUGUCGGCUUGUCAAGCUAGGCAGAAAACCACACCCCGGGAAACUCUUAUACGGUCUCCAGAAAAAGACAUCUCUACCUAGACUUCUUAGGUAGAAAUGGGAGAAUGGACACGGCUUGGAUCAAAAACCAAAGACAGGGAAAAACAACAAGGAGAGCAAAACAAUGGGAAACCAAAAUGGAGCCCCGCAAACCUCAUUUCACAUAUUAAUCAAUGAGCUCAGGAAUGGGCUGAAGUAAAUUUCAAAUGAGCUUUAAAACGAGACUAAAACGUGAAUGCCAAUGUUCCAUAUGAAAUCCCAAAACAGAGGAUACAAAAUGGGCUAGAAGUCAAGGAUGAAUCAAGUGAAAGCAAACCCGGAUACCAUAGAAACAAACUAGAGAUACAAAUGAACAGAUCUGGACAUCAAAACAGAACCUAAUGAUACUAAAAAAAAAAACUCAACAAAAUGAUAUGGAAAUGGAAAAACCGAUAGCUUGUAGGAACACAUGCCUGUAUCGAUUCCUAUCAAUGCGAUCCUUAUGCGCGUUUCUCCUUCUCUCUGGCCAGUUAUCUCUUCCUAAGCCCUCCAACUCUCACCCGAUCUCCCCCCUCUCCAGAACCUCUUCCUUCUCUGCCCUAUCAUUCCUCUGUUUUGUCUUCCCCCACAAGCCACGGACCUGCUCCACUGUGUGUCCUUGGAGCAGGUCAUCAGCAUCCAACCACCACCAUGGCGAGCCAGCUCCACAACCACCUGUCCACGCAUCUCCGCUUCAGUGGGAAGGGGUCCCCCCGUUUUCAAAAGGAAUGAAAAAAAGAAACCAAAACCCAAGAAACAACUUCCCGGGUGUUUUUAAAACCAAAGAAAGGACCCCCCCUCUCCCCUGUUUUUAAAGGGGUCUACAGUAAGGUUUUAAAAUAUUGUUAGUGGUGAGAACCCUAGUGGGACUUAUAUGUGAAAAAAAAAAUAUAAAAAAAUUCAGAGUGUUUUAGCUGAUUGCCAACGUGAAAUAUGAGAAACCCUUAGGGUCAAACCUUUGACCUGGGGUCACGGGCCAAAUUUUGGGUCGCCCGGAAUUUGGGUCGUGACAAAUUUGGUUGUGACUUAAUUUUUAUUUUAAAAUAAAAUAGUAUUUUUUUUUAAGAAAACAACUAUUUUUAUGGAAGUCAUUAUUCCAAAAAGCAAUUUAGGUGCAAUUUAAAAAAAAAAAGCAAUAAAUCAAAUUUAUUAUUAUUAUUAUUUUAAAAAAUCAAUUAAUAAUUAAAAAUAUAUAAAUGACAACUUCUAAAAUGAAUUGAUACUAAAAAUAAAAAAUUAUAUUGAUUUAAAAAGAUAACUUCACAAGUUAUUUGGAAUGAGUCCUUUAAAAUUACAACUUCUAAAAUAUAUAUGCAUCUUUCCAUGAAAAGUAAUUACACUUUAUAUGUAAAGUGUUGUAUAUUUUUAUUUUUUUUGUAUAAAUUCAAUAUGAAAGUUGUCUGACCAAAACUACCUUAAAUUUCUUCAUACUUUUACAAGCACUUGUUUGAAAAAAAAUUUUGGUUUCAAUUUGCUGUAGAUGCUAAAAAUCCCCAAUACAUUGGUGGGGUAAGUAUUGAUAAUUCCUGAGUUUUGGUACAGAACUGAUGCAGGGGCUUUUGAGGUCUCAUGGACAAAAAUAAGAAAAAUGGAAUGCAUAAAUCCUGCAGCAUACAACCAAAACUCACUAUUCAUUUAACCAGACAAGUAAACCGAAAAUGCAUAGAGAAAUGAAUUACUUCAAUUUAUAGAUUUUAUUAGCAUGUUUUUACAUACAAUACGGUCUACAUGGCAGGAGGUGUGGAUCAAUUUACGUUACAGGAAGGCAGCUCUGCUUCUACCCCCAACAGAAACCAGAAGAACUCCAUCCCCCAGCAUGAAUUGAAAAGCAGAGGGACAAGAAGCUAACAGACACCAUAUAUUAGGAUAAGGACUAAUACCAGAUGCAAGAGAAGGAAACAAGCUUGCAAACUCCCUUGCUCAUUGAAAAGAAACUUCGUUCCUGGAAAGUAGGUAUGAUAAGAGAAUUUCGUUCCACAUAUCAGGCACCCCAGGUAGACACCAAUGGCUACAAUCAGGCACCAAUGGAGUGUCGCUAUUAGUACCAACGUGCGCAUCACUACGGAAUGCCACCAUGGGGGUAACAUGCAGAACUGUCGCAGGAACAGCCAUAUUCUCCACCACCUUCAUUAUGAUGUCUGAAAAUGGACUCCGGUCCCUUCCUUUAGGUUUUGACAAGGGGUUUCUAGUCACUUUGCAAAACUGUUGUCUUCGACCACUGGCACAGAGAUAGGCUUACUGUCAAUCAAGUUUGCCUAUAUAGGCUUAUUUUUCAACAACAAAAAUUUAUAAAUAAACAUUAGUCAAUGAAUGAACAUAAUAUGGUCAUAAUGUAAAGAUGGUGCUAUAGGAAUAGGUAGUGAAGAAACCCAAUUCCGUCCAUUAUGUUGAAUGCAAUGAUAAAGGACGGGUGCAUCUAACCAUGAUAGGUGCAACAGAUCAAUUUUGUUCUUUUAUCGCUUGAACAAGAGGACGGAAGUGGAAGUGAAUCCUCUUUUGUUUCGUGUUCAUCCACGACCAGGACGGAUCGUCUUGUUUAGCAGAAGCGUGUUCCACGUGAACACGCAUGUGCCUAACAUAAUGCUGACAUAUGAAACCUAAGGGCAGACAUCUGAUAACUGUAUUCACCCUAAUGAACAACAAAGCCACAUGAUAAGAAUCACAUGGAUGGCCAUCAAGCAACAAGAUAUAUAAAAGAUUAUACUCAUAUCCCAAAACCUCCCUUGAACUAUCCUUGAUCAUAUAGUGCAAUAACCAUAAAACUUCUUUAAGGUUAUUAAUGAUGACAGCAUGACCUCCCACCAUUAUUUUGAAAAGCUGCAUUGAUUAUCUCAUGAUAGGCAAGGAGUUUAGAUCUCAGCCAGCCUGCAGCUUCUGACUGAGGUGUUGUAUCACUUUGCUAAGCUUAUGGGUUUGAUGACAAAGUGAAGAUACAUGGCCAAUGCAAGUAAGUAGGCUGGGCCAAGGUUAACUCACUGGACCCUGGUAGCUAAAUGAGUGGACCUAAGGACCCCCCAAGACCAGCAGCCUAUGGCCCAUAUCAUCCCUUAAUCAUCAUAUAGGAUAAGUUUAUUAUUUUAGAAAUAAGACAUGUUUAUUCUUUACAUGAGUGCAAAUGUAUACCAAUGGUUAUCUUAAAAGCAUAAUCUAUGGAAUCUUAUGAGAAGAAAAGCAGAAAGAGAGUUGGAUAAACAGGGGACUGACAUCCCAAUUCCAACAUCUUGGCUGCCAAUCCAGUUUUAGUUUCUAGUUAUAUAUGCAGUAGAUCCCGUAGAACUUGAUUCAACUAGAGAGUUUUAACUCCAAUUUUCAAACAACCCCAUUGAGGAACAAAUAAAUUUGGCAGAAAAUAUAAUGACUAACUACUGAAAACGCACCUCCAGUGGGAAGAUUCAAAAUAACGAAAGAAUACACGUGUUCUGUUUGUGUUGAUUGUAGUUUCAAUCCAUGAAGCCCAAGUGUUUAAUGCUGUUCUGAAGGCAGUUGGAAUUGACAUUCCAAGCUUCAGUGCUCCACCCACCUGGAAGUAGCAGCCCCUAUCUGGAAAAACAUAUUUGUAGUAGUCCACAGAUGCAUUCGUGGAAAGCUAAUCCAUUAUUACAAAGGGAAAGUUGAUAGUUGUAGUUUUAAGUACAUGGCAGACUUAUUGAAGAACAUACUAUAUGUUGAAAAGGCACGUUUUUUUCUUUAAAUCUCUAGAUGUAAAAUACAUUUUGUUGGAAAACCAAAACUGAUAUGGAAAGAAAUAACUUUGUAAAGUUGUAAAUUAUUUAUUAGUUCUCAAUCUUUGUAUUUUUAAGAAAGUAAUUAUUAUAAGUUAUUUAUUGUUGUCAAUUUUUGUAUUUUUAGGAAAGUAAUUGUUAGGAGUUAUUCUUUCCUUUUAAUCAGUGAUUUAGUUUCCUAAUUUGAAGGAUUUGUAUAUGCUGUAAACUCUAUAAAAGAAUAAUCUCAAUAAAAGAAAAUUAUUCCUGUGAAACCCUAUUCUUCAACUUGGUAUCAGAGUUAGCAAUUUGCUUGCCGAAAUCCUCCUUCUUCCUCUCUUUCAAUCCUUGUUCUCUGAAACCAUGUCGGAUAUUUCAAACGAGUCCACUACUGUUCCUCAACCUUCUCUGAACAAUCUCAUCAUCACUAAUUCUUCAAAAAUCAGUCCUACCACCUUGGAAUCUCACUCUGUCCAAAUCACCACGAUUCGCUUGAAUGGUGACAACUUUUUGAGAUGGUCUCAAUCAGUUCGGAUGUACAUCAAAGGACGUGGAAAGAUGGGCUACCUGACGGGUGAAAAGAAGGCUCCUGCAGUGGAUGAUCCGAACUAUGCUAUAUGGGAUGCUGAAAAUUCCAUGGUGAUGACAUGGCUUGUGAAUUCUAUGGAAGAAGACAUUAGCUCUAAUUACAUGUGCUAUCCAACAACAUAAGAGCUUUGGGAGAAUAUAAAUCAGAUGUAUUCUGAUUUAGGGAAUCAAUCAUAGAUCUUUGAAUUAACCCUCAAACUUGGUGAGAUACGAUAAGGGAGGACAACGUCGCAAAGUACUUCAACUCCUUGAACCAGAUCUGGCAAGACCUUGACCUCUUCAACACCUAUGAGUGGAAAUCUGCCGAUGAUGGACUUCAUCAUAAGAAGACCAUGGAAGACAAUCGGAUCUUCAAGUUCUUGGCUGGCCUUAAUGUCGAGUUUGAUGAGGUAAGAGGGAGAAUCAUUGGAAGACAACCCCUGCCUUCAAUUGGUGAAGUUUUUUCAAAAGUUAGAAGAGAAGAGAGUCAGAGAAAUGUGAUGCUGAGCAAGAAGGGACCUGGAGUUGCUAUUGAAGGUUCAGCCUUGGUUACCACGGGUGGAGGUUAUAAUAAAGCUGCUGCGUUUCAGUGCAAAUCAAAUGAAAGACCACGGGUUUGGUGUGAUUUUUGCAACAAACCUCGCCAUACUUGUGAGAACUGUUGGAAAAUCCAUGGGAAACCUGCAAAUUGGAAAGGAAAAACAGGUGACAAACCAGGCCGAGCCAUUAUUCCUACUGCUAAUGAGGUUGAGACCAGCCCCUUCACCACUGAGCAAAUGGAGCAUCUUCUUGCACUGCUGAAAUCCAAAUUGACAUCCAGUACUUCUAGUGUUUCUUUGGCACACACAGGUAAUGAAUUAUAUGCUCUAUCUUGUCAUUUUAAAUUUACUCCAUGGAUAAUCGAUUCUAGAGCAUCCGACCACAUGACCAAUUCCUCAAACAUGUUUGAAUCCUAUUCACCAUGUCCUGGAAAUAAAAAGGUUCAGAUAAUUGAUGGUAAUUUCUCACCUAUUGUAGGAAAAGGUCUAAUAAAAAUCUCUGAGGGAAUAGAUCUUAAAUUUGUUCUCCAUGUUCCUAAACUUACUUGUAAUCUCUUGUCUGUUAGCAAAUUAUCUAGAGAUUCUAAUUGUUGUGUUAUCUUCUAGGAAUCCCAUUGUAUUUUUCAGGACCAAAGCUCGGGGAAGACGAUUGGCAGUGCUAGGAUGAUCAAUGGUCUCUAUUAUUUCGAGGGUAAUUUACCUAGUAAUAAAAUUGCUCAAGGACUAAGUAGUAUUAGUUCUCUUUAUGUUCGUGAUCAAAUAAUGGUUUGGCAUUGCAGAUUAGGUCAUCCUAGUUUCUCUUAUUUAAAACAUCUAUUUCUAGUGUUACUUCAAAAGGUUGAUCCUUUAUCAUUUCAAUGUGAAAGUUGUUUAUUGGCAAAGAGCCAACGAAAAACUUACAUUCCAAAACCCUACUAUGCAUCAAAACCAUUUUAUCUUUUUCACAGUGAUGUUUGGGGACCUUCAAAAGUAACCACAAUUUCAGGAAAAAAAUGGUUUGUGACCUUUAUAGACGACCAUACACGUCUCUGUUGGGUAUAUUUAAUGAGGGAAAAAUAUGAAGUCGAAAGGAUUUUUAAAGAUUUUAUAGAAUGAUUGAAAACCAAUUUCAAACAAAAAUCAGUAUUUUGAGAUUUGAUAAUGGGACUGAGUACUUUAAUAAAGUUUUGUAAACCUUUUCAAACGAGAAAGGAAUUUUACAUCAAUCCUCGUGUUCUGAUACCCCUGAACAGAAUGGAAUAGCUGAACGUAAAAAUAAACACUUGUUAGAAGUAGCACGGGCUAUGAUGUUUUACAUGAAUAUUCCAAAAUACUUAUGGGGGGAUGCCAUACUAAUUGCUUCAUAUCUAAUCAAUAGGAUGCUUACAAAAUUUUUGCAAUAUACCACUCCUUUGGAGUGCUUGAAAAAGGUAUUUCCAGAAUCUUGAAUUAAUUCUGAAUUACCCUUGAAAAUAUUUGGUUGCACUGCAUAUGUACACAUUCCAAAAAGGUCAAGAUCUAAGUUAGACCCAAGAGCAGAAAAAUGUGUUUUUGUAGGAUAUACUCCUAAUAAAAAGGGUUACAAAUGUUUUAAUCCCCUUACAAAAUGUUUUUACACAACUAUGGAUGUUUCCUUUAUGGAAAAUGUCUCAUAUUUUACCAAAAAUUUACUUCAGGGGGAGAAAUUAGUGGAACCAAAUUUUUGGGAAAUUGUUGAACCUUUGCCUAGUGCAAUUCUUGAUAUCUCUCUUGAAAAAAAAAAAAAAAGGAAACUAAGCCUACUGAAUCCGAAUCUGAAAUUGGUCUAUCAGAAGAAGAAAUACUACGAAUGAAAAAAAAUAGAAACAAUCUUGAGUCUGUGGUUUAUUCAAGGAAAAAAUUCCUUGGAAGAAGUAAAGACCAGUCGAUCAUCCCAGCACAUGGUCAACCGAAAACCCUGGGCAAUGGCUCUCUAAAUGUCUCAGGUAGCCCUCCUUCUAUUCCUACUCAUAUACAUGCUUCUUCUUCUUCUGUUACUGAUCUAAGUUUACCAUCACACUUUGGUCCAAGUCCAGAAAUAUCUGCACUAGAAACCGGUUUAGGAUUAGCCCCAAUUGUUCCUACACAGGACCUUGAUCUUGAUCUCCCUAUUGCUCUUAGAAAUGGAACCCGAGCCUGCACUAAACAUCUCAUUGCCAAAUAUAUCUCCUAUAGUAACCUUUCUGACAACUAUAGAGCAUUCACUACUAAUAUUUCAAAACUUGUGGUACCUAGAAAUAUUCAAGAAGCACUAGAUGAACCGAGUUGGAAAUUGGUAGUGUUUGAGGAAAUGAAUGCCUUAAAAAAGAAUGGCACUUGGGAGGUUGUAGAUUUACCAAGGGAAAAAAAAUUGUAUGAUGCAAAUGGGUGUUUACAAUAAAGAGUAAAGCUGAUGGAAGUGUUGAGAGAUACAAAGCCAGACUUGUGGCAAAGGGUUUUACUCAAACCUAUGGAAUAGACUACCAAGAGACUUUCGCCCCUAUAGCUAAAAUAAACUCGAUUAGAGUUUUGUUGUCCCUUGUAGUAAAUUCCAAUUGGCCCUUACACCAAUUGGAUGUUAAAAAUUCCUUUCUUAAUGGAGACCUAGAGGAGGAAGUGUUCUUGAGUCCUCCACUAGGUUUUGAAGAAAGUUUUGGAGUGGGGAAAGUGUGCAAAUUGAAGAAGUCUUUAUACGAACUUAAGCAGUCGCUUAGAGCUUGGUUUGAGAGCUUUGGCAAAGUAAUAAAGCAUUAUGGAUAUACUCAAAGUCAAGUUGAUCACAGGAUGUUCUACAAACAUUCCAAUGAAAGUAAAGUAGCCAUCUUAAUUGUGUAUGUUGACGAUAUUGUGUUAACUGGGGAUGAUUGCAAUGAACUAGAGAAGCUGAAGGAGAAACUUGCUGAGGAAUUUGAGAUUAAGGACCUAGGGGCAUUAAUAUACUUUCUUGGGAUAGAGUUUGCUAGGUCCAAAGAAGGUAUCUUUGUAAAUCAACGAAAGUAUGUUCUUGAUCUUCUUGAUGAGACAAGUAUGUUAGGAUGUAAGCCUGCUGAAACACCUAUAGAGCUUAAUGUAAAACUGCAACCUACAAAAGCCAAGAAUGUGAAGGACCGGGAUCGUUAUCAGAGACUUGUUGGGAGAUUGAUUUACCUAUCUCAUACACGCCCUGACAUAGCAUUCUCAAUGAGUAUGGUUAGUCAGUUUAUGCAUGCGCCUGGACCAGAGCAUUUUGAAGCUGUUUACAGGAUUCUAAGGUAUCUAAAGGAGACACCAGGUAGAGGUCUUCUGUUCAAGUCACGAGGACACCUACAAAUUGAAACCUACACCGAUUGGGCUGGAAGCAUAGUGGAUCGAAGGUCCACCUCUAGGUACUGUUCAUUUGUAGGUGGCAACUUGGUUAUGUGGCGAAGUAAAAAACGGAAUGUGGUUGCUAGAAGUAGUGCUGAGGCUAAGUUUAGAGUUGUAGCUCAUGGUAUUUGUGAGAUUAUGUGGAUAAGAAGAUUACUGGAAGAGUUAAAGAUGACAGGUCCAUCUCUUAUGAAGUUGUAUUGUGACAACAAGGCAGCAAUUUCAGUAGCUCACAAUCCGGUUCUCCAUGAUCGCACCAAACAUGUGGAAGUGGACAAGCAUUUCAUUAAAGAGAAGAUAGACAACGGAUUGGUUUGUAUGACCUAUAUCCCUACUGAGGAACAAGUGGUUGAUGUCUUCACCAAAGGACUACACAAGAUGCAAUUCGAUUUUCUGGUUGGCAAGUUGGCUAUGGAAGAUAUCUUUAAGCCAGCCUGAGGGUGAGUGUUGGAAAACCGAAACUGAUAUGGAAAGAAAUACUUUGUAAAGUUGUAAAUUAUUUAUUAGUUGUCAAUCAGUGUAUUUUUAGGAAAGUAAUUAUUAGGAGUUAUUUAUUAGUUGUCAAUCUUUGUAUUUUUAGGAAAGUAAUUGUUAGGAGUUAUUCUUUCCUUUUAAUCAGUGAUUUAGUUUCCUAAUUUGAAGUAUUUGUAUAUGCUGUAAACUCUAUAAAAGAAUAAUUUCAAUGAAAGAAAAUUAUUCCUGUGAAACCCUAUUCUUCAACUCAUUUAUUUUUUUUAUUUUUUUGUGAUAGGCUCUAGAUGUAAAAUACAUCAAGGUCAGAUGUAAAAUGGCACCUUUGACUAUACCAUUGUGAGUGAUCAUUGUCUAUAAUUGUAUUCCAACAAAAGGAGAAAAGAGUUCAUAUAUAAAUCAUAUUAUUCAGAGUCCAGUUUGUAUAUUUCACUGAAAUUCAGCAUAAGAUUCUCAAGCCUUGUGUCCAAGACGAUGAUUGGAAAUGGAUGAGUAUCCCCCCUUUUCAAUUGCACCGGUAAUGCCUUGUGCAGACUUGCCAUGCAAACCUUCACCAAUCUUCUCAUUCUUUCUAAUCUCUUCUUGAAUAUGCACAUCAUCCUCUUCGGUUAGUAACACAACUUGUUCUCCAUGUGGGCCUGCUAUAACUCCCUCCUUCACCUUCGAAUGUUCAUCCACAUCUAUUAUUUCUGUUUCUUGAACCAUCUUCUUUCCCUUCCCAAUUGCACCAGUAAUGCCUUUGGCAGCCUUACCAUGCAAACCUUCACCAAGCUUCUCAUUUUUUUGAAUCUCUUCAUGGAUAUGCUUAUCAUCUUCCAUGCAUAGUGCCAGAGCUUGUGCUCCAUGUGGUCCUGCCAGCAUCGCCUCCUUCACCUUCAAAUGUUCAUCGACAUUUACCAUUUCUGUUUCUUGAACCAUAUUCUUUUUCUUUCCAAUUGCGCUAGUGAUGCCUUGGGCAGACUUACCAUGCAAAUGACCUUGGCCAAACUUCUCGUUCUUUCUGAUCUCUUCUUGGAUAUGCACAUCAUCAUCCACAAACAGCACCACAGCCUGCUCUCCAUGUGGGCCUGGGACAAUGGCCUCUUUCACUGUCAAAUGCUCGUCGACCUUUAUGAUAUCUGUCUCCUGAACCAUCUUCUUCUUCCUCUUUUUGAGGAAGCAACAGAGAGCAACUGAGAGGAAUGCAAGGAAGAAUAGACCACCCAAUGAGACGAACACAAUGAUUAUGACUGUGGGAUGGCUGUCUGGUGAUGGUGAAGGUGGUGGUGGAAGUACAUGAGGUGGAGGUGGUGGGCGUGUAUGAGGUGGUGGUGGUGGGCGUGUAUGAGGAGGCGGUGGUGGUGGGUUUAUAUGAGGAGGUGGAGGUGGUGGACGUCUAUGAGGAGGUGGUGGAGGAGGAGAAAAAGGUGGGAAGUUGUAGUAAUUGAUCUGGGAAGAAGUCAUUGGGGUGAUAUGGAUAGUGGAAACUUUGAAGAAGAU